UACGUAGGGUGCGAGCGUUGUCCGGAUUUAUUGGGCGUAAAGGGCUCGUAGGCGGCGUGUCGCGUCGGGAGUGAAAGACCGGGGCUUAACCCCGGUUCUGCUUCCGGUACGGGCAUGCUGGAGUGUGGCAGGGGAGACUGGAAUUCCUGGUGUAGCGGUGAAAUGCGCAGAUAUCAGGAAGAACACCCGUGGCUAAGGCGGCUCUCUAGUACGGUACUGACGCUGAGACGCGAAAGCGUGGGGAGCGAACAGG
This 253-nucleotide ribosomal RNA is filed under the name uncultured bacterium. RNAcentral describes it as "partial 16S ribosomal RNA". It matches the Rfam family "Bacterial small subunit ribosomal RNA", at positions 524 to 776 of the family's 1533-position model. The record is from RNAcentral.